ACGUCGUCUUUUACCGAGGAAGAACAAAAGGCAUUACAGGAAAUUUUACAAGCAAGGUUUUCGUUGACAACGAGAAUUCAUCACCAGCAUGAGUUGGGGAGAAUUUUUAUACCGUCCGCUUAUGCGGAUAGAUUCAAUGAAAUUAUUAAACCUUUCAUUCUUCCGGAAUUUCAGUAUAAACUCCUUUGACCCCGUAACGACUUUUCAUCCCGAUUGGAUCGGGAUUGAAGGAUCCCGACGAACGUCGGGAUAACACGCUAAGCCCCAGUCAUUAUGUCGCUAUCGCGACACCGACUGGGUGAUGGUAUAGUCUAGCCCUCAUGGAAACAUGAGA
RNAcentral lists this non-coding RNA (334 nucleotides) under Candidatus Gottesmanbacteria bacterium GW2011_GWA1_44_24b. The record is from RNAcentral. Lineage: Bacteria; Candidatus Gottesmaniibacteriota.